RNAcentral lists this unclassified non-coding RNA (376 nucleotides) under uncultured Acidimicrobiia bacterium. RNAcentral describes it as "contains 16S-23S intergenic spacer region". The record is from RNAcentral. Lineage: Bacteria; Bacillati; Actinomycetota; Acidimicrobiia.
UCCGAGUUAUCCCCGGCAGUCUCCCAUGAGUCCCCACCAUUACGUGCUGGCAACAUAGGACAAGGGUUGCGCUCGUUGCGGGACUUAACCCAACAUCUCACGACACGAGCUGACGACAGCCAUGCACCACCUGUCACGGGCCCAAAUGGACACUACGUUUCCGCAGCUUUUCCCGUGAUGUCAAACCCAGGUAAGGUUCUUCGGGUUGCAUCGAAUUAAGCCGCAUGCUCCGCCGCUUGUGCGGGGACCCGUCAAUUCCUUUGAGUUUCAGCCUUGCGGCCGUGCUCCCCAGGCGGGGCACUUAACGCGUUAGCUGCGACACCGAGGGGGUCGCUCCCCCCGGCACCUAGUGCCCAUCGUUUACGGCGUGGACUAC